CACCGGCGGCUCGAGUGGUGGCCACUUUUAUUGGGUCUAAAACGUCCGUAGCCGGCUUGGCAAGUCCCCUGGGAAAUCUGGCGGCUUAACCGUCAGGCGUCCAGAGGAUACUGCCAGGCUUGGGACCGGGAGAGGUGAGAGGUACCUCAGGGGUAGGGGUGAAAUCUUGUGAUACCUGAGGGACCACCAGUGGCGAAGGCGUCUCACUAGAACGGGUCUGACGGUCAGGGACGAAAGCUGGGGGCACGAACCGG
Molecule: ribosomal RNA, 254 nt
Filed under: uncultured microorganism
Description: partial 16S ribosomal RNA
Rfam family: Archaeal small subunit ribosomal RNA
Source: RNAcentral